Molecule: small RNA, 1067 nt
Filed under: Olea europaea subsp. europaea
Lineage: Eukaryota; Viridiplantae; Streptophyta; Magnoliopsida; Lamiales; Oleaceae
Source: RNAcentral
CCUCUAUAUGUUUUUCAUAAUUCUGAUUUUAUGUUGUUAACCCUAACACUCGGGUAAAACAUUGAAAGUGAAUCUAUGGCUGUCCUCUGGGUAUCAGAUAUGAAGGUACCCUUGAAAUCUACAUCUCAUUGAGUUUAUAAUAAAUGAUUAUCAUUAAUGCUGCCAAUUUUGUUGCUAUGAGGUUCCUCAUUUCAUUUCUUUCUUUUACUUUUGAUUGCUUAGUAUUAUCAUCUUCGUGAUUGACAUGAAUUAUUAUAAUUCUCUGUCAAAUCUACAGGCCCUAGUUUGAGCAGCAUACCUAGAGAGAGUGAGCUCUACAAAGCAAAACAAAGUGAAGCUUUGCUGAAAUAUGAGAUGUAUGUACAUUAUUUUAUCAUUCUUUUGCCUUCGUCUGAAAAGUGAUUGCCUAUGCUGCAAUUUCAAUGCUUACUCUGAUAAGUUGCUUUCAGCUUGGUAGGUUUGGAGAAACAGCUUAUACCUCUCUUUGGAAAACACGUCAACUGAUCAUCGUAAUUUUACACACCUCAUAUUGUGAGAGAUGAAAAUCUGCACAAGAUUUUGAUGUUGUUUUUCUGGCUGAGAGAUGUUCAAAAUUAUGUAAUGUGGUAUUGCUGCUGGUAGCUGUGUAAAUUCGCUCUCUUUCUCGGCUGAGUAGUUCGUUGUCAGUGUUAAUAGGAAUCGAACAAGUUUUCAAUGAGCCUUAUUCCGUAUGUGUAUUUCUUCGUUAGUUUAUUUGCAUUCUGUUCUAUGUGGAGGAAAGAUAAGUUAAUACUGCAAUAUAGCUAUGUAGAUACUGCUUCUUAUGCAGGCCGCCGUGGGGUAGGUAGCUCAGGACGAGGUGGUGGAGGGAUGGCAGUCAUUUUAAAUGCAUUAAGAUAACUUUAUUUCCAAAUUGAAUUGAGUGACCACAAAAAUAAUCAGCACGGUUGUGAGAUUCUCUAAAAAUAAACAUUACCACUUUGUGAAAAAUGCAGGGAUUUAUAUGUUAUAAUCUCAACAAAUUAUAGGUAAACAUUGCAAUAGCUAGAAGAAACGUUGAAGCUACCUUGUGACUUUUGUUGUGGGAC